CUGCCAUCUUGUCUGGAACAUUUCUAAUCUUGUCUGAUUUCAGAAGCUAAGCAGGGUUAGGCCGUAUAUGUGUUUGGAUGGGAGACCACCAAGGAAUAUCUUCUCCAGAGACAC
This 114-nucleotide ribosomal RNA is filed under the name Pogona vitticeps (central bearded dragon). Lineage: Eukaryota; Metazoa; Chordata; Lepidosauria; Squamata; Agamidae. The record is from RNAcentral.